Molecule: small nuclear RNA, 18 nt
Filed under: Arabidopsis thaliana (thale cress)
Lineage: Eukaryota; Viridiplantae; Streptophyta; Magnoliopsida; Brassicales; Brassicaceae
Description: snRNA_14042
Source: RNAcentral
CGCAAAUUUACAUUUUUC